GUUCCAGAUUGUUUUUAUGACUAACUCUUAUCUAAUUCUAGGGAGGAGAAAGAGAAAGAGCUUCUUAUAGACCUGUAGUGAAAUCUGGCUCCUCAACAUAUUCCUGAUUUCCAGGUUGCUUCCCUAAAGACUUUGGAGAAUUUCCUUUUAGGAUGAAGAUUUCCAGAAACUUGGAUCAUAUUUGAUUUGGGGGCCCUCCUAUUUGUUCUGUUCAAGCUGCUGACCACAUGCUUAGCUGGUCAUUGCAAUUUUUAUCUUGACAUAGGAGGAGGCAAGGAUAAUCAAGCUGUUUAGUACAGUAGAAACUCUUGGAUUUAGAGUCAGAAGGAGUGGAUUAAAAUCUUGGAUUUGCCCACUUAUUCCCUUUGUAACCUUGAGG
Molecule: long non-coding RNA, 379 nt
Filed under: Monodelphis domestica (gray short-tailed opossum)
Lineage: Eukaryota; Metazoa; Chordata; Mammalia; Didelphimorphia; Didelphidae
Description: lncRNA (ENSMODG00000042496.1)
Source: RNAcentral